RNAcentral lists this small RNA (17 nucleotides) under Arabidopsis thaliana (thale cress). RNAcentral's name for it is "ATSL260300". Lineage: Eukaryota; Viridiplantae; Streptophyta; Magnoliopsida; Brassicales; Brassicaceae. The record is from RNAcentral.
UUUUUUUUCUCUCCUCU